RNAcentral lists this ribosomal RNA (497 nucleotides) under uncultured bacterium. Its description in RNAcentral is "partial 16S ribosomal RNA". It matches the Rfam family "Bacterial small subunit ribosomal RNA", at positions 28 to 507 of the family's 1533-position model. The record is from RNAcentral.
GAUGAACGCUGGCGGCGUGCCUAAUACAUGCAAGUCGAGCGAACAGACGAGGAGCUUGCUCCUCUGACGUUAGCGGCGGACGGGUGAGUAACACGUGGAUAACCUACCUAUAAGACUGGGAUAACUUCGGGAAACCGGAGCUAAUACCGGAUAAUAUAUUGAACCGCAUGGUUCAAUAGUGAAAGACGGUUUUGCUGUCACUUAUAGAUGGAUCCGCGCCGCAUUAGCUAGUUGGUAAGGUAACGGCUUACCAAGGCAACGAUGCGUAGCCGACCUGAGAGGGUGAUCGGCCACACUGGAACUGAGACACGGUCCAGACUCCUACGGGAGGCAGCAGUAGGGACUCUUCCGCAUGGGGCGAAAGCCUGACGGAGCAACGCCGCGUGAGUGAUGAAGGUCUUCGGAUCGUAAAACUCUGUUAUUAGGGAAGAACAAAUGUGUAAGUAACUAUGCACGUCUUGACGGUACCUAAUCAGAAAGCCACGGCUAACUACGUG